RNAcentral lists this ribosomal RNA (498 nucleotides) under uncultured bacterium. Its description in RNAcentral is "bacterial SSU rRNA". It matches the Rfam family "Bacterial small subunit ribosomal RNA", at positions 29 to 507 of the family's 1533-position model. The record is from RNAcentral.
ACGAACGCUGGCGGCGUGCCUAAUACAUGCAAGUCGAGCGGAAUGAUGAAGAAGCUUGCUCUUCUGAUUUUAGCGGCGGACGGGUGAGUAACACGUGGGCAACCUACCUUGUAGAUUGGGAUAACUCCGGGAAACCGGGGCUAAUACCGAAUAAUCCAUUUUGCUUCAUGGCGAGAUGUUGAAAGACGGUUUCGGCUGUCACUACAAGAUGGGCCCGCGGCGCAUUAGCUAGUUGGUAGGGUAAUGGCCUACCAAGGCGACGAUGCGUAGCCGACCUGAGAGGGUGAUCGGCCACACUGGGACUGAGACACGGCCCAGACUCCUACGGGAGGCAGCAGUAGGGAAUCUUCCACAAUGGACGAAAGUCUGAUGGAGCAACGCCGCGUGAGUGAAGAAGGUUUUCGGAUCGUAAAACUCUGUUGUAAGGGAAGAACACGUACGAGAGUAACUGCUCGUACCUUGACGGUACCUUAUUAGAAAGCCACGGCUAACUACGUG